RNAcentral lists this ribosomal RNA (761 nucleotides) under Bacillus zhangzhouensis. RNAcentral describes it as "bacterial SSU rRNA". It matches the Rfam family "Bacterial small subunit ribosomal RNA", at positions 80 to 827 of the family's 1533-position model. The record is from RNAcentral. Lineage: Bacteria; Bacillati; Bacillota; Bacilli; Caryophanales; Bacillaceae.
UGCUCCCGGAUGUUAGCGGCGGACGGGUGAGUAACACGUGGGUAACCUGCCUGUAAGACUGGGAUAACUCCGGGAAACCGGAGCUAAUACCGGAUAGUUCCUUGAACCGCAUGGUUCAAGGAUGAAAGACGGUUUCGGCUGUCACUUACAGAUGGACCCGCGGCGCAUUAGCUAGUUGGUGGGGUAAUGGCUCACCAAGGCGACGAUGCGUAGCCGACCUGAGAGGGUGAUCGGCCACACUGGGACUGAGACACGGCCCAGACUCCUACGGGAGGCAGCAGUAGGGAAUCUUCCGCAAUGGACGAAAGUCUGACGGAGCAACGCCGCGUGAGUGAUGAAGGUUUUCGGAUCGUAAAGCUCUGUUGUUAGGGAAGAACAAGUGCGAGAGUAACUGCUCGCACCUUGACGGUACCUAACCAGAAAGCCACGGCUAACUACGUGCCAGCAGCCGCGGUAAUACGUAGGUGGCAAGCGUUGUCCGGAAUUAUUGGGCGUAAAGGGCUCGCAGGCGGUUUCUUAAGUCUGAUGUGAAAGCCCCCGGCUCAACCGGGGAGGGUCAUUGGAAACUGGGAAACUUGAGUGCAGAAGAGGAGAGUGGAAUUCCACGUGUAGCGGUGAAAUGCGUAGAGAUGUGGAGGAACACCAGUGGCGAAGGCGACUCUCUGGUCUGUAACUGACGCUGAGGAGCGAAAGCGUGGGGAGCGAACAGGAUUAGAUACCCUGGUAGUCCACGCCGUAAACGAUGAGUGCUAAGUGUUAGG